This 356-nucleotide ribosomal RNA is filed under the name uncultured bacterium. Its description in RNAcentral is "bacterial SSU rRNA". It matches the Rfam family "Bacterial small subunit ribosomal RNA", at positions 28 to 381 of the family's 1533-position model. The record is from RNAcentral.
GAUAAACGCUGGCGGCGUGCAUGAGACAUGCAAGUCGAACGGACUUCUCGGGCUUGCUCGAGAGGUUAGUGGCGGACGGCUGAGUAACGCGUAGGUGACCUGCCCCGAAGUGGGAGUAACUGCCCGAAAGGGUAGGCUAAUACCGCAUGUGAUCGCUCAUUCUAUUUGUUUCGAUCAAAGACAGUGAUGCGCUUCGGGAGGGGCCGUGCGUCCGAUUAGCNCGUUGGUGGGGUAAUGGCUCACCAAGGCGACGAUCGGUAGGUGGUCUGAGAGGACGAUCACCCAGACUGGGACUGAGACACGGCCCAGACUCCUACGGGAGGCAGCAGUGGGGAAUAUUGGACAAUGGGCGCAAG